AAUAGUCAAUAAUACUCUAUAAGCAAUCCAGGCAUUUGCAUAACAACAGUUCAUUUUCUUAAUGUAAUCCAAUACAUCAAUUGCCCCAUAAAUGUUUGCAGAUAUCGCUUCUUUUAAAACUUUCAACUCAGAAAAUAAUUCUAUUCCAUCAAUAUCAGAAAUCGUAUUAUGCUUCAAGUAAUUUUCAAGUUUAAUGCAAGAACACUUCAAAACAUCAUCAUCAAUAGAUUUAAGUAUUUUCAAAUCAAACAAAAAUCCAAAAAUAUCAUCAUAUUUCUGAAAUUGCUCAAAUCUAUUCUGAAGUGAUGAUAGAGCUUGAUCCACUAUAUAUAUGAAAUAAUUGAU
Molecule: long non-coding RNA, 345 nt
Filed under: Olea europaea (common olive)
Lineage: Eukaryota; Viridiplantae; Streptophyta; Magnoliopsida; Lamiales; Oleaceae
Description: long non-coding RNA (OEUR_LNC002548)
Source: RNAcentral